RNAcentral lists this transfer-messenger RNA (374 nucleotides) under Kapaibacterium sp. (SeqCode). It matches the Rfam family "transfer-messenger RNA". From Rfam's summary of the family: Bacterial tmRNA, also known as 10Sa RNA or SsrA, is named for its dual tRNA and mRNA-like properties. Its role is to liberate the mRNA from a stalled ribosome. Lineage: Bacteria; Pseudomonadati; Bacteroidota; Eximiradiia; Eximiradiales; Kapaibacteriaceae (SeqCode). The record is from RNAcentral.
GGGGAUGCACUGGUUUCGACGGGGGGACAACAGUUUGUGGUUGCGCUGUCGCGCCUGCUCAUGAGCGCGUUAUUCACGUGAGCAAACCGUAUAUGCGAACUCCUUUGAGUAUCGCCUCGCUGCCUAAGAAGUAUUCUUAGUUGGUGAGCAUCUGGCCAGAAGCUGCCCAUCGAUUCUGGAUUUCAGGUGACGACUUUGAUGGGAUAGUGUCGACGGCUCUGCCGGUGGCCUUCGACGCGAAACCUUUGCCUGCUGGCGUGUGGUCAACCCUGUCUGUCGGGAUGCCGCACGCGAGAUUUAAUGACUGACUACGCAGCGUAGAAGCCCCAGGCUUUGCCUUUCGGACGCGGGUUCGAUUCCCGCCAUCUCCACUU